This 213-nucleotide long non-coding RNA is filed under the name Chinchilla lanigera (long-tailed chinchilla). RNAcentral's name for it is "lncRNA (ENSCLAG00000022692.1)". The record is from RNAcentral. Lineage: Eukaryota; Metazoa; Chordata; Mammalia; Rodentia; Chinchillidae.
AAUGAGACAAAAAUUUCUAGAAAUGUUUAAUGCAUAUAAUUUGAUUUCUUUUCUUUUCCUUUUAGAGACCAACAUGACUUACCACUGAAAUUAUACUGCAAACAACUGAAAUAUAUCUUUAUAUUACUAUUUAGACCUGGUCAAGGUGGACCAAAUGUACUGAUUUUUGGGCUUACAACUAAAAGACAAUGUCAACAUAUCUUUGCAUGUGAA